UGGCCGCGGUAUUUUGACCGUGCAAAGGUAGCAUAAUAAUUAGGUUAUUAAUUGUAAUCUUGAAUGAAAGGUUUGACGUAAAAAUUACUUUCUUAUUUUUAAAGAUGAAUUUAAAUUAUAAGUAAGAAUGCUUAUAUUAAAAAUUAAACGAGAANACCCUAUUAAGCUUUAUAUGUAGUGUUGAUACUUUUAGAGUGUAGUAAAUUACUAUAUAUUUUGCUGGGGCGGUAAAUAAUUAUUAAACAUUGUGUGUUAUUUCUUUUAUAGAAGUGUGAAUGAUCCAUAAUUUGUGAUUAAUAGAUUAAGCUACUAUAGGGAUAACAGUACAAUUAUAUCAGAGAGUUCUUAUUGAUGAUAUUGGUUGUAACCUCGAUGUUGAAUUAAGAGUUCUUUUAAAUGCAGAAGUUUUUUAAGAUAGUCUGUUCGACUAUUAAAUUUUUACA
This 443-nucleotide ribosomal RNA is filed under the name Cormocephalus sp. CES091332. Its description in RNAcentral is "partial 16S ribosomal RNA". It matches the Rfam family "Bacterial large subunit ribosomal RNA", at positions 1928 to 2600 of the family's 2925-position model. Lineage: Eukaryota; Metazoa; Arthropoda; Chilopoda; Scolopendromorpha; Scolopendridae. The record is from RNAcentral.